RNAcentral lists this unclassified non-coding RNA (377 nucleotides) under Hevea brasiliensis (rubber tree). Lineage: Eukaryota; Viridiplantae; Streptophyta; Magnoliopsida; Malpighiales; Euphorbiaceae. The record is from RNAcentral.
AGUGGUAACAGAGCUUCAUGCAGAACAUGCAUUUUCACCACAUUCCCAUGGCCAAUUUCUUCCUUCUCUGAACUCAUUCCUUUGGUGGACUUCACCCCAGUCCGCCAGAAAACACACUCACGCCCAACUUUUUUUCGAGAACUAUCUCUUUCUUAUAUCCAGUGCUGAUACCACCACCACCAGCUGGUCCAUUAGUAUACAAUGCUGUAAACUCUCUUGUAAAUAGGACUGCAUGCUCUUUCAACUCAAAUAAUCCAUCCAUGUGUAGCCUUAUGUCUCCAUUAGUGGUCCAUGAUGAAGUGUUAUCGUUAAUCCUAGAGGCCUUCAGGCUAUCAAGUCCAAUAAUACAUGAAACUACAUUACAGCUAACACCUGGA